This 278-nucleotide ribosomal RNA is filed under the name uncultured bacterium. RNAcentral describes it as "partial 16S ribosomal RNA". It matches the Rfam family "Bacterial small subunit ribosomal RNA", at positions 29 to 332 of the family's 1533-position model. The record is from RNAcentral.
AGCGAACGCUGGCGGCAGGCUUAACACAUGCAAGUCGAACGGGCGUAGCAAUACGUCAGUGGCAGACGGGUGAGUAACGCGUGGGAACGUACCUUUUGGUUCGGAACAACCCAGGGAAACUUGGGCUAAUACCGGAUAAGCCCUUACGGGGAAAGAUUUAUCGCCGAAAGAUCGGCCCGCGUCUGAUUAGCUAGUUGGUGUGGUAACGGCGCACCAAGGCGACGAUCAGUAGCUGGUCUGAGAGGAUGAUCAGCCACAUUGGGACUGAGACACGGCCC